This 73-nucleotide transfer RNA is filed under the name Patescibacteria group bacterium. Its description in RNAcentral is "tRNA-Cys". It matches the Rfam family "tRNA". From Rfam's summary of the family: Transfer RNA (tRNA) molecules are approximately 80 nucleotides in length. Their secondary structure includes four short double-helical elements and three loops (D, anti-codon, and T loops). Further hydrogen bonds mediate the characteristic L-shaped molecular structure. tRNAs have two regions of fundamental functional importance: the anti-codon, which is responsible for specific mRNA codon recognition, and the 3' end, to which the tRNAs corresponding amino acid is attached (by aminoacyl-tRNA synthetases). tRNAs cope with the degeneracy of the genetic code in two manners: having more than one tRNA (with a specific anti-codon) for a particular amino acid; and 'wobble' base-pairing, i.e. permitting non-standard base-pairing at the 3rd anti-codon position. The record is from RNAcentral.
GGCCGUGUGGCGAAGAAGCAAACGCGACGGUCUGCAAAACCGUUAUACAUGGGUGCGAAUCCCAUCACGGCCU